Raphanus sativus (radish) is the source of this 1002-nucleotide long non-coding RNA. RefSeq lists it as uncharacterized. The record is from RefSeq and is a predicted model, not a curated record. Lineage: Eukaryota; Viridiplantae; Streptophyta; Magnoliopsida; Brassicales; Brassicaceae. The transcript has 4 exons.
CAGGUCAGAUCCUCUAAAUUCCACCGACUAUAAAUGAGAUGUAACUUUUCCGUCGUCAUUGAAAUUUCAUCAUUAAGUUUCACUGUUAAUUCUCGAAUUCAAGGUCUUCCACGACGUUUGGUUUUAGUUUUCUCUUUUCUCAUUUCAAUCGUAUGUCCCUAAUUUCUUCAACUAUAAAUAAGGAUGUAGACUACUGGGAAUCUCACUGCUUCACUUGAUUCAACCAUACUACUUCUUUUACAUACAAGACCCUCGACAAUGGCUUGGCGGUUGAUUACAAGGGGAAUGCUUACGUCACCAACUCAGCCAAAAACUUUAUCUGGAAAGUGGAUCAUGACUCCGUAUCUUCGAUCUUUUCCAGAUCGUCGUUAUCUAACUCGCAGCCGGUGGUGGCUGACGCGGACGCAAGCUUUUGCGAUUUCAGUUUGAACGUGAUUUUGUACAACAUCGAAGGAUAACUCUUGCUGGUCUUGGUGGUGAGAGCAACACAUGAAAGAUGUUUAAGGUCGAGGAAGAAACCAGGACGGCGAGGAUUGUGUUGCUGAAUGGAGAUCUGGCUGCGGCAGAUGGGAUUUUGAGGAGACAGAGAGAGAAACGGUUGUGGUGGUGUCCGAGAAGAAGCUUUGGUUUGUUCAGAGCCAAGAUAAUAUGGAUAUCAAAAAUCAGGGUUUCUUGGUGCGUCGAAGAUGGUUUGGUUGGUUCAAUUAUUAGCUAACUCGGUGAACAUGGGCUUGCAAAUCUUUCACGUGGGAGAAAGACAACCAUUUGAACCUGUUUACAUGGAAGCAACUGGUGACCGGUUUAAGGAUCUGGAUCGAGAAGACAUAUAUUGGCAGAGAAAAAAUAUUAACCUACCAGGAUUAUGUCUAAGCGAUGCUGAGAAAAAUAAAGGAGCCAUAUUGGAGAUUGAGAAAAUAUUGAAAAGUAAUGGAACUUCUAUGCAUUGUGUUCUUUGCUUAAUUGUUACUCUAGAUGGUAAGGAUGGUGAGUUUUAGUUUAGCG